GAUGAACGCUGGCGGCGUGCCUAAUACAUGCAAGUCGAGCGAACGGACGAGAAGCUUGCUUCUCUGAUGUUAGCGGCGGACGGGUGAGUAACACGUGGAUAACCUACCUAUAAGACUGGGAUAACUUCGGGAAACCGGCGCUAAUACCGGAUAAUAUUUUGAACCGCAGGGUUCAAAAGUGAAAGACGGUCUUGCUGUCACUUAUAGAUGGAUCUGCGCUGCAUUAGCUAGUUGGUAAGGUAACGGCUUACCAAGGCAACGAUGCAUAACCGACCUGAGAGGGUGAUCGGCCACACUGGAACUGAGACACGGUCCAGACUCCUACGGGAGGCAGCAGUAGGGAAUCUUCCGCAAUGGGCGAAAGCCUGACGGAGCAACGCCGCGUGAGUGAUGAAGGUCUUCGGAUCGUAAAACUCUGUUAUUAGGGAAGAACAGAUGUGUAAGUAACUGUGCACAUCUUGACGGUACCUAAUCAGAAAGCCACGGCUAACUACGUG
Molecule: ribosomal RNA, 497 nt
Filed under: uncultured bacterium
Lineage: Bacteria
Description: partial 16S ribosomal RNA
Rfam family: Bacterial small subunit ribosomal RNA
Source: RNAcentral